Molecule: long non-coding RNA, 396 nt
Organism: Drosophila innubila
Lineage: Eukaryota; Metazoa; Arthropoda; Insecta; Diptera; Drosophilidae
Exons: 2
Source: RefSeq, a predicted model, not a curated record
UGUUUGAGUAUAAAAAGAAAGCUCGCUCAGAGAUCUGCUGCUCAUCAGCAGCUGAUUGCUGAGAGUGUUGAAGUUGAAGAGAGAGCGUAACUGAGCUCAGCGUCGUGACAAGUUUGUGAAUGGGUCUUGCCGGUCAGCUAAAGCUGCUGCGUUCCGGCUGCUUGGAGUUGGCAGUAAGUGGUCGGCUUUUCACCAACUUCCGCACAGGACUUUCCUCUCACGUUUGCUGCCUUUGGUCGAAUGUGGAACAUAACUGAAUGAUCUGGCAACUUUAACGGGAGUUUUCUUUCGCCUUCAGUUGGCUGUGGAAUGUAUCUUAGUAAUUUGUAACUGCCAUUCAAAUGAUAUGUACGCUUAUUUUGAUAUUCAAACGAUUAAAGUGACUAUAGAAGCGUA